RNAcentral lists this long non-coding RNA (199 nucleotides) under Musa acuminata (dwarf banana). RNAcentral describes it as "long non-coding RNA (MACU_LNC009945)". The record is from RNAcentral. Lineage: Eukaryota; Viridiplantae; Streptophyta; Magnoliopsida; Zingiberales; Musaceae.
UUUAGAGGCUCUGGAAUCUUGUUCUGUGAUAGCAUAUACUCUAGCAUGGGCUGUCGGCUUAAGGAGUAGCGGCUCUUUCUUCUUGUUUAGUGGGCAGUCUCUGACUUUAUGAUCUAACUUUCCACAGGCAAAACAGGCUCCAGUCACCCGAAAACACUCACUUGUUUCAUGAUUAUGUCCACAUUUUGUACACGAUAGA